AGCAUAUCAAUAAGCGGAGGAAAAGAAACCAACAGGGAUUGCCUUAGUAACUGCGAGUGAAGCGGCAAAAGCUCAGAUUUGAAACCUGUCGUCUUUGGCGAUCGGAUUGUAAUCUGGAGAGACAUCUUCUGGCGGACAGCCGGUCCAAGUUCCUUGGAACAGGACGUCAGAGAGGGUGAGAAUCCCGUAUCUGGCCGGUUUGUUCCGCCUUGUGAAGUGUCUUCGACGAGUCGAGUUGUUUGGGAAUGCAGCUCAAAAUGGGUGGUAAAUUUCAUCUAAAGCUAAAUAUUGGCGAGAGACCGAUAGCGCACAAGUAGAGUGAUCGAAAGAUGAAAAGCACUUUGAAAAGAGAGUCAAAAAGUACGUGAAAUUGUUGAAAGGGAAGCGCUUGAGACCAGACUCGCGUUGGGGUGAUCAGCGGCGCUUCUGUGCCGUGCACUUGCCCCUCCUCGGGCCAGCAUCGGUUGCGACGGCGGGAUAAAGACCCGAGGAAUGUGGCUCCCCUCGGGGAGUGUUAUAGCCUUGGGUGCAAUGCCGCCUGCCGCGACCGAGGACCGCGCUUCGGCUAGGAUGCUGGCAUAAUGGUCUUCAGCGACCCGUCUUGAAACACGGACCAAGGAGUCUAACAUCUAUGCGAGUGUUCGGGUGUAAAACCCCUGCGCGUAAUGAAAGUGAACGGAGGUGGGAACCCUUCACGGGGUGCACCAUCGACCGAUCCUGAUGUCUUCGGAUGGAUUUGAGUAGGAGCAUAGCUGUUGGGACCCGAAAGAUGGUGAACUAUGCCUGAAUAGGGUGAAGCCAGAGGAAACUCUGGUGGAGGCUCGCAGCGGUUCUGACGUGCAAAUCGAUCGUCAAAUUUGGGUAUAGGGGCGAAAGACUAAUCGAACCAUCUAGUAGCUGGUUCCUGCCGAAGUUUUCCCUCAGGAA
This 927-nucleotide ribosomal RNA is filed under the name Sarcoscypha occidentalis. RNAcentral describes it as "eukaryotic LSU rRNA". It matches the Rfam family "Eukaryotic large subunit ribosomal RNA", at positions 37 to 979 of the family's 3401-position model. Lineage: Eukaryota; Fungi; Ascomycota; Pezizomycetes; Pezizales; Sarcoscyphaceae. The record is from RNAcentral.